RNAcentral lists this ribosomal RNA (529 nucleotides) under Meloidogyne incognita (southern root-knot nematode). Its description in RNAcentral is "partial large subunit ribosomal RNA". The record is from RNAcentral. Lineage: Eukaryota; Metazoa; Nematoda; Chromadorea; Rhabditida; Meloidogynidae.
UUACUUGUUGGUGCUUGGGGAUGUUUAGGCAGAUUUGUUCCGCGUUUUGAGGCCAGCUUGCUGGUACCCAAACGGUGUUAGCAUUUUUUGUCUUGGCAUUGAGUAUGGCUACGGAUUUAUUGGGAUCUGAGUGUAAGUUACGGUCGCAUGCGACACGUGCUUUUCAAUUAGUUCGGUCCAGUUAAUGCUCUCGUACUCSUUCCCCAUGUAAAAGCCGGUCAUCUAUCCGACCCGUCUUGAAACACGGACCAAGGAGUUUAUCGUGUGCGCAAGUUUUUGGGUGUUAAAAACUAAAAGCGAAAUGAAAGUAAAUGCUCUUUAGAGUCUGAUGUGCGAUCUUGUAAAAAAGUGAGCAUGGCCCCAUUCUAACUGUUUACAGUAGGGUGGMGGAAGAGCGUACGCGGUGAGACCCGAAAGAUGGUGAACUAUUCCUGAGCAGGACGAAGCCAGAGGAAACUCUGGUGGAAGUCCGAAGCGGUUCUGACGUGCAAAUCGAUCGUCUGACUUGGGUAUAGGGGCGAAAGACUAA